Molecule: ribosomal RNA, 1038 nt
Filed under: Triticum aestivum (bread wheat)
Lineage: Eukaryota; Viridiplantae; Streptophyta; Magnoliopsida; Poales; Poaceae
Description: partial small subunit ribosomal RNA
Source: RNAcentral
AUGGCGGCGGCAGAGGUGAGCAACAAGGGGGUGAUCCUGAAGCAGUUCGUGACGGGGUGCCCCACCGAGGACGACCUGGAGCUCGUCACCGGCGUCGUUCGGCUGGCCGUGCCGCCUGGGUCGGCGUCCGUGAUGGUCAAGAACCUCUACGUCUCCUGCGACCCCUACAUGCGCAACCGGAUGAGCGAGCACAACGAGGCCAGCUACAUCGAGCAGUUCGUGCCAGGGGAGGUGCUAGUUCUAUACCAUCCCAAGCAGGGUGGUAGCAUCUGGGCACCCGAUUUCAAGUCGGGUGAUCUUGUUUGGGGCAUGAGCGGAUGUGAAGAAUACACUUUGAUCACUGAUCCAGAGUCUCUUUUCAAGAUCAACCAUCCCGAACUACCUCUGUCGUACUACACAGGUGUUCUUGGCAUGGCUGGACUUACUGCGUAUGCUGGAUUUUUCGACGUAUCAAAACCAAAGCAAGGCGACUAUGUUUUCAUCUCAUCAGCAUCGGGCGCCGUCGGGCAGCUUGUUGGACAGCUUGCCAAGAUCACUGGCUGCUAUGUGGUUGGCAGUGCUGGUUCCGAUGAGAAGGUCAACAUCCUAAAAACCAAGUUUGGCUUUGACGAUGCUUUCAACUACAAGAAGGAAGAGGACCUCAACGCCGCACUAAAGAGAUGCUUCCCGCAGGGCAUUGACAUCUACUUCGAGAACGUGGGCGGUGCGAUGCUAGCCGCGGUGCUGCCCAACAUGAGGAUGAAUGGCCGGAUCACCGUGUGUGGGAUGAUCUCGCAGUACAACCUGGAGCAGCCGAAUGGUGCCCCUAACCUCUUUUGCUUGGUUGCCAAGCGCAUCCGCAUGGAGGGAUUCAUGGUCCUGGACUACUUCGGGACCUACAACAAGUUCGAGGAGGAGAUAGCGGGUUACCUCAAGGAAGGGAAGAUCAGUGUUGUUGAGGAUGUUGCUGAGGGGAUCGAGAAUGUGUCGACGGCGCUCAUCGGGCUCUUCUCUAGGCACAACAUUGGGAAGCAGCUUGUCACCAUCGCACAUGAGUGA